Podarcis lilfordi (Lilford's wall lizard) is the source of this 73-nucleotide non-coding RNA. The record is from the annotation of a GenBank genome assembly. NCBI's taxonomy places the organism in Eukaryota, Metazoa, Chordata, Lepidosauria, Squamata, Lacertidae.
GCUGGGAUAGCUCAGUUGGUAGAACAUGAAACUCUCAAUUUCAGGGUCGUGGGUUUGAAUCCCAUGUUGGGUG